UUCCGAAGCAGCCUGUGUUCGAUUCACAGUGGGGGCAGCUCCUAUGGUCUAGUGGUUAUGACGCUUCGUUGUGGCU
Molecule: transfer RNA, 76 nt
Filed under: Rhizoctonia solani AG-1 IB
Lineage: Eukaryota; Fungi; Basidiomycota; Agaricomycetes; Cantharellales; Ceratobasidiaceae
Description: tRNA-His
Source: RNAcentral